RNAcentral lists this transfer RNA (73 nucleotides) under Lachnospiraceae bacterium. RNAcentral's name for it is "tRNA-Thr". It matches the Rfam family "tRNA". Rfam says of the family: Transfer RNA (tRNA) molecules are approximately 80 nucleotides in length. Their secondary structure includes four short double-helical elements and three loops (D, anti-codon, and T loops). The record is from RNAcentral. RNAcentral also lists the same sequence under 6 other names. Lineage: Bacteria; Bacillati; Bacillota; Clostridia; Lachnospirales; Lachnospiraceae.
GCCAGCUUAGCUCAGAUGGUAGAGCAACUCAUUCGUAAUGAGUAGGUCGUUGGUUCGAUUCCGAUAGCUGGCA